UACGGGGGGUGCGAGCGUUGUCCGGAAUCACUGGGCGUAAAGGGCGCGUAGGUGGCCUGAUAAGGGUGUGGUGAAAGUCCGGGGCUCAACCCCGGAUCUGCCGUGCCGACUGUUAGGCUAGAGUACUGUAGGGGCAGGCGGAAUUCCCGGUGUAGCGGUGAAAUGCGCCAGAUAUCGGGAAGAACACCCGGUGGCGAAGGCGGCACUCUGGGACGGUACUGACGCGUGAGACGCGAAAGCGUGGGGAGCGAACGAGG
RNAcentral lists this ribosomal RNA (257 nucleotides) under uncultured bacterium. Its description in RNAcentral is "partial 16S ribosomal RNA". It matches the Rfam family "Bacterial small subunit ribosomal RNA", at positions 524 to 777 of the family's 1533-position model. The record is from RNAcentral.